This 163-nucleotide signal recognition particle RNA is filed under the name Candidatus Coproplasma avistercoris. RNAcentral's name for it is "partial signal recognition particle sRNA large type". It matches the Rfam family "Bacterial large signal recognition particle RNA", at positions 98 to 256 of the family's 256-position model. From Rfam's summary of the family: The signal recognition particle (SRP) is a universally conserved ribonucleoprotein involved in the co-translational targeting of proteins to membranes. Archaeal SRP consists of a 7S RNA and homologues of the eukaryotic SRP19 and SRP54 proteins. Lineage: Bacteria; Bacillati; Bacillota; Clostridia; Eubacteriales. The record is from RNAcentral.
UAAGGGGCGUCGAUCGCAAGGUCUUAUGCAACCGGAAGCUGCGAACCGUGUCAGGAUAGGGAUAUAGCAGCACUAAACAGUCCGAAGGUGUGCCAUAAGGUAGCUUUGCGGGAGUCACCUGCAGGGUUUAACGCUUCGGUCUGCCGCGGCAAAAGGGACCUGC